AACCAGGACUUCGGUCCUGGGGAAAGCGGCGAACGGGUGCGUAACACGUGAGCAACCUGCCCCGAAGACCGGGACAAGCCGGGGAAACCUGGUCUAAUACCGGAUGUCCUCGAAUGAUCGCAUGGUCGAUCGAGGAAAUGGAUUCCGCUUCGGGAUGGGCUCGCGGUCUAUCAGCUUGUUGGUGGGGUAACGGCCUACCAAGGCGACGACGGAUAGCUGGUCUGAGAGGACGAUCAGCCACACCGGGACUGAGACACGGCCCAGACUCCUACGGGAGGCAGCAGUGGGGAAUCUUGCGCAAUGGGGGAAACCCUGACGCAGCGACGCCGCGUGCGGGAUGAAGGCCUUCGGG
RNAcentral lists this ribosomal RNA (352 nucleotides) under uncultured bacterium. RNAcentral describes it as "bacterial SSU rRNA". It matches the Rfam family "Bacterial small subunit ribosomal RNA", at positions 70 to 422 of the family's 1533-position model. The record is from RNAcentral.